Molecule: long non-coding RNA, 958 nt
Filed under: Anas platyrhynchos platyrhynchos (common mallard)
Lineage: Eukaryota; Metazoa; Chordata; Aves; Anseriformes; Anatidae
Description: lncRNA (ENSAPLG00000029133.1)
Source: RNAcentral
UUUUAUCCUAAAAUCACCUUUACUUGCUGAAAUACAGGAAGAUACUAUAUUUCUCCACCUUCUUUACAGGUGUGUGGAAUAAUGGUCCUGCAAUUAAAAAAGAAGGAAUGAUCAUUUGUCUCUUUUAAGAGGCUGUUUUAUGACAUUGAUGGCUUAAACUAGGUGACUAUGAAAGAAGUAUUAAAGGAAACUUGGAUAGAAAAAAUUGGCUGUAUUAUACUUGCUCUGAAAUAUCAUCACCAUCAGAAUGUGGGCAUGGUCUGGAAACCUACAAGUGAUCUGGACUUCAAAUUCGAUUCAAAGGAAAGAAAAAAAAAAAAGCGGUGGGUAAAAGUGCUUGUAAGACUGAAAGUUAUAAUGACAUGCUUUAACCCGUCUUUGAUUUGUGUUUUACAUUGUUGAAUGACGACUGACUUGGAAAGAGGAGUUUAUAUCUUUAUUGCUGAUUUAACCUUCAUUACAUCGCUGUUAUAAUAUAAAGAAAGCCUCAUUUGGUAAGUUUGACAUUGCAUUUUUCAGUAUUUUUUGAAACCUUUUGCUUUUGGCAUACACUUUCCCUAGUUUAAAAGCUGUGAUAUGACUAAUGAAUAGCUGUAUAUCUUUCUUUUUUUUUUUUUUUUUUUUUUUUUUUUAACAUGCACUGGGUGUCUGUCUGUUAAGAUUUGUCAGUUUUCUAUCAUUAACUGUGAACGAAUAUUCCUUAUUAAUUGUAACAGGAGGUGUGGGGACUACAAAGGGGUGACCUGUACCUAGAACACUGUUUCAUUUGUUAUAAAGCUAAAUGUCUGAAGUAUUUAAAAACUGAAACCUGAUAUUCUGUCAUGGUGUCUUCUUACUUUAAUCCUUUAUGGUGUCUUCUUACUUUAAUCCUUUAUGGCCUUGAAAGACUAUCAUAGAGGAAUACUGCAAGACAUAUUCAGAUAUAUAAAUUAUCCGAUUUUUCAAGUCAACAAGUAAC